RNAcentral lists this small nuclear RNA (163 nucleotides) under Astyanax mexicanus (Mexican tetra). Its description in RNAcentral is "U1 spliceosomal RNA (ENSAMXG00000039093.1)". Lineage: Eukaryota; Metazoa; Chordata; Actinopteri; Characiformes; Acestrorhamphidae. The record is from RNAcentral.
UAAGUAACAUCUAAGUGGUUAUGUUAGGAUCACAGUGGUGUUUUGCUCAGUGUGUGAGGCUCAGGCUUUGCACUUCAGUUGUGUGGACCCUUGCAAAUUCCUGAAAAGUGGGAAUUUCAGCUGCAUUAUUUCUGCUAGUGAGGGGGCUUAGGUCAUGCCCUCU